AUUGAACGCUGGCGGCAGGCCUAACACAUGCAAGUCGAGCGGAUGAAGGGAGCUUGCUCCUGGAUUCAGCGGCGGACGGGUGAGUAAUGCCUAGGAAUCUGCCUGGUAGUGGGGGAUAACGUCCGGAAACGGGCGCUAAUACCGCAUCCGUCCUGAGGGAGAAAGUGGGGGAUCUUCGGACCUCACGCUAUCAGAUGAUCCUAGGUCGGAUUAGCUAGUUGGUGGGGUAAAGGCCUACCAAGGCGACGAUCCGUAACUGGUCUGAGAGGAUGAUCAGUCACACUGGAACUGAGACACGGUCAAGACUCCUACGGGAGGCAGCAGUGGGGAAUAUUGGACAAUGGGCGAAAGCCUGAUCCAGACAUGCCGCGUGUGUGAAGAAGGUCUUCGGAUUGUAAAGCACUUUAAGUGGGGAGGAAGGGCAGUAAGUUAAUACCUUGCUGUUUUGACGUUACCAACAGAAUAAGCACCGGCUAACUUCGUG
RNAcentral lists this ribosomal RNA (484 nucleotides) under uncultured bacterium. Its description in RNAcentral is "partial 16S ribosomal RNA". It matches the Rfam family "Bacterial small subunit ribosomal RNA", at positions 30 to 507 of the family's 1533-position model. The record is from RNAcentral.